UGCUGGAUAGCUCUGCUGGUAGACUGUGAGACUCUUAAUCACAUGGUUGUGGGUUUGAGCCCUGCGCUGGGCAA
Molecule: non-coding RNA, 74 nt
Organism: Podarcis lilfordi (Lilford's wall lizard)
Lineage: Eukaryota; Metazoa; Chordata; Lepidosauria; Squamata; Lacertidae
Source: the annotation of a GenBank genome assembly